GUAGGUGGCAAGCGUUGUCCGGAAUUAUUGGGCGUAAAGCGCGCGCAGGCGGUUCUUUAAGUCUGAUGUGAAAGCCCACGGCUCAACCGUGGAGGGUCAUUGGAAACUGGAGAACUUGAGUACAGAAGAGGAAAGCGGAAUUCCACGUGUAGCGGUGAGAUGCGUAGAGAUGUGGAGGAACACCAGUGGCGAAGGCGGCUUUCUGGUCUGUAACUGACGCUGAGGCGCGAAAGCGUGGGGGAGCAAACAGGAUUAGAUACCCUGGUAGUCCACGCCGUAAACGAUGAGUGCUAAGUGUUAGGGGGUUUCCGCCCCUUAGUGCUGCAGCUAACGCAUUAAGCACUCCGCCCUGGGAGUACGGCCGCAAGGCUG
RNAcentral lists this ribosomal RNA (372 nucleotides) under uncultured organism. Its description in RNAcentral is "partial 16S ribosomal RNA". It matches the Rfam family "Bacterial small subunit ribosomal RNA", at positions 527 to 896 of the family's 1533-position model. The record is from RNAcentral.